UGAAGCCUCGAUGAGGAUAUCACGAGCUGAAUGUAUCCCCUUAUGCUGUUGCUCUGUCCUGCCAUGUGACUGUAUUUGGAGUUAGGAUCGAGAGGGAGAAGGGGAAGCCUUCACUCAACAGGACUGGUAUCCUUGGAAGAAAGCAGACAUGACACUCGUCCCCCCUGCCCCCAUGGUGUGCAUGGAAGAAAGGCCAUGUGAGGACACAGCAAGAAAUCAGGUCUCUGUCAGCCAGGAAGAGGCCUCACCAGAAACUGAGUUUACCUACACCUUGAUCUGGGACUUCUAGUGUCCAAAACUGUAAGAAAACACACUCUGAUUGUUUAAGCCACCAUUCUGUAGUAUUUUGUUAUGGCAGCCCCGGCAGACUAAUACCCAGGUGACUUGUGGAAAAGGCUUUGGUACAUCUCCUGGCACAAGGUAAGAGAUUCAUUAAGGAUAGCAGUUUGUAUUCCUUCUUAAAAAACACUUAUCUUUCUAGGACAGAAUUCUGGAAACUCCAAGGCCAAAUAGCUGCAAAUCCACUUGAAGCCUCUGAUGAGAAAUUGAGGGCAUCAGAGAGAAAGCAAACCACAGCCACUAAACUUUUUCUAUCCUGUUUCUGUGUUUAAGUCAUGAUGAUUUGUGUCAAAUAAUAUGACUGCACCCUUCCUCGGAGGGACUUAAUGCGCUUGUGCCAACUGCUUAUCCAUUGGUCAAAUGUCUGCAUCCAAGGAUGAGUUAAUGGGCUGUCUUAGAGGGCCAGGUGCCUGAGGCUAGGACUGUGCACAGAGAGCCACUAAUAAAAUAAAAUAAUUGGAUUCGUUCCACCCUGUCUAGUUUAGACUGUACAGUCAGGAAGCAGGCCAGGCUGAGUGGCUUUAGGAAUUGCAGGGUUGAAUUUACACUACAAGGCAGAUUUUACUUCAAUCCGUGUCAGCCUUGAUCAACGGUUGAUCUGUCACUUUUAGAGGUCCAGCUACUCCUGACUCGUGGGCACAUCAGGGAGAGGCUGUGCACAAGACACUCUGAGGUUCUGGUUUCACAGUGUCUACAUUCCUCAGGACACCCCAUAAGCAAGGUCUCCAAGUGGAUUUCUGGGCUACAGAUCUCCUGAGACAGGAUGAGGGAGGAAGUAGCUGAAGCUUCUCAAGUAAUCGUGAUUCUCUUUGCCUUCAUGUUCAAUCCUAAUGAAUGCUUUAAAGAUGGCACUAAAAUCCAUUUGAGAGACUAGAACCAUCUGGGAUCAUUGGUCAGAGCUUUAAAUGGUGCAAAAAGAGGGAAAAAUGGGCUGACUUCUGCUACGUAGGGAGGGGUUACAUUGGCUUCAUUGAAACCAGUUGAAGGUGUUCUUUUGCUUUAUUCGCCCCAAGUUUUUCUUUAAAUUAAGGCUGUCCAGUGGUUUCCAGAGACUCCAUAGGUUCUGUUGAAAUUUCUUUUGUCCUUUCCUCUUACUGAAUCUCCGUGACCCUGACUUCACAGGGUCGGAUGUUGCAGCCCAGAGGAGCACUUGCCAUUAGUACCUCCAUCACAGAUGGAUGGCCCAACGCUGACUCAGUGAACCUGCUUCUUUUUGUACCUCCCUGACACUAAGUGUUUGCUCAUAGACUCAACAUUGUUUCGAUGUGUUCAUUAAAUUCAAACACCCACUCAACAUCCACCUUCGAAGGCCCUGGGAGUGCUGCAGCAAAUGAGAUGCAGAUCCUGCCUUCAAAGAGCUCCAGUUUAGUGGGAGGGCAGAGGGAUAGUAACUAACAUAUGGCCACCAAGGAGGGCGAGGCAUGGAGAAAGGCUUUGAAGAGAACAGCAGUGGCCUUGGAGGUUACCUCCCAGGAGGGAAGAAAGAGAGAGGAGCGUUUGUGGGAGGAACAAUUUAAUUGGGAAUAAAGAAGCAGCCAGCAGGUUGUUCUGACAGAAUCAGUCUUUUUGAUGCAUGGCUGAAGGCAGCUGGUGAUGCUGGUGUCGAUGAAACAAUUAUUUGGCACACAACGAAUAAGGAAAAUAUGGGAGGGACAAAGCAAAGACAGGAAGUGAGGGAGAAAGGGAGGGAAGGAGGUAGGAGGGAGUUACUCAUCUGGCUUGAGAAAAUAUCAUCAGCCAAUCCAUCCAUAACCCCAUCCCAUAAUCUCAGCUCCUUCUCCAACGAGGAGUUGAGAGACUGGUCAACCAGAGCUUCGUUCUGGUGUCCAUAAGAUCUGGCUAAUGACACCAUAUCCCUUAUUUCCCUUAUUUCUUGGAAAACUGGGGAAUGGAGUCAACUUGUAGAAAACCCAUGAGAAAUUUAUUGACUUAGGGAAAACAAUGACAAUCAAGAUGGUUUUUGUUACAGGGGUGAAAUUAAGACGAAUAAAAUUAAAUAUGUUAUUAUCUUAAUUGAACAUUAUAGUUAUUAGCGCCUACCUUUGAAUUUGUUGGCUGGUGGCCAAAAUCUGUGACCAAUAGGUUGGAAGGUUAUUUCAAUGGCAUCAUUAAAAAAAAGUUUCCAGAGACAUGUCCCAGCCUAUAUCUACACAAAUGUAGGGUAAGGAAAGAGAGACGAGGGGCAAGAGAAGGAUAUACUAGCUACUAAGUUUAAACUCAAACUUAAGGAUUUGUUUUUACGUGAAUUGGAGACAGUGGUAAAUCCUGUCUGGUGGCCAUCUGGGGAGAAAGAAGGGGCACCAGGGAGGAAGUCUUCCUGAGAGGACCCACACCCUUCCAGGACUGCAUCCCCCUCAUUGUUUUCUUUUUCUGCCAGUAAAUCACUGGUAUUAAUUAAUAGGAUUUGGUUUUGAUUUCUUCCACACAACUGUUUGUACAUAUCUGGAGGCUCAACUGCUAAUGCAAAAGAAAUUUCCUCAAACAUUUUCAGACCAGAGACCAGAUGACAGAAAUCAUGACUUAUUCAUCUUUGCAUUCUGAGUACCCAGAGCAGAUUCUCCAUGUGUUCAUCAUAUAAAUUAAUGAGUUUCCUUGCUCCACCUCCUUUUACCACCAGAAAACCUAUUUCUUUAACAAAUAUUUAUUAAUUAUCUCUAUUUGUCAGGUGCUGAGUCAGGCAGUAAGAGUGAGCAAGAGAGACACGACCCUGUUUUUGCAGAGUUUGCUGCCCAGGAAGAAAGACAAUAAUUAAAGCAGGCGUUAUGAUCUCAUCACAGUAUGGGAGAAUCCAUGAGAAAGAACACAAACCAGUCUUCAUGUGACCAUGCAGACUUCCAGGAGCGUUUGCAAAGCCAUUAGGAUCACUUCCUGCCAGGGAACUUGAGGUUCCUUUUUUAAAAGAACCAGCAUGUGUACAAGAGGAAACAGAAGUGUCUAAAUCUAGCUGCCUCAGGUCAAGGAACUCCCUUCGUAUGGGAAAGGUGUAUCCUGUGGUACCUUAGGUCCUGUUAAAAGUGUCACAGAAAUGAAACUAAAUCCCAGAGAGAUAAAGAGACUCACCUAAGGCCACACAGCCAACCAAUAACCUCAGUGCCAAGAGACUCUUAAUUCCCAACUUCCAACUCCCUGCCCUGCUGGAGCCUGUAUAACAAAUGGGAGUUCAGGGGAGAGGUCUGCCCUGGAACGGAAGUUUCGGCACCAUAUAUAAAUAGACAGUAAUUGAAGAUGUGAAGAUGGAUCACAGUCCGUGGAGAGUGAGAAGAGACAAACACAUAAGACAAAACACUGAGGAAUGAUAAUAUUUAGUGGCUGAGUAGAGGAUGAUAAGCCUGAUGCUGAGAAGGAGCAGCCAGAGAGGUAGAAGGAAAAGUGGGAUGGUAUUAUAUGUGGGAAGGUAUUGGAACUUUUCUGAAAACUUGCAAUUGUCCUUGCUUUGGGGAGUCUAACUCCUGGUUAAGCACCUAUUAUUAAUAAUAAAUUCUUUAUACGUGUGGUGCUAGGGAUUGAGCUCAGGGCCUUAUGCCUACUAGGUAAGCACUUUACUAUUGAGCUACACCCCCAGUAAUAAUAAAUUCUCCUUAGUUAAAUGAGAAUUGAAAUUGUUCUUGACAUCAAACAUGUAGUUCUCAGCCUGAGGUACCUAGAACACCAGUGGCAUGGAGACUUUGUGUUAACAGCACUCAGUGUUUUCAUGAAAAUGAUUGUCCUCCAAUCUUUUGUGUCACUCUGCAAGUGUGACAUACUCUACUGAUGACCCCAUUAUUCACCUAUGACAUUUUCAUAUUGUAGUAGUAAUUUGAAUAUUUAACUACUGGUGAAACAUGACAACAAAAAAUAUACAAAUAAAGUUCAACUAUUGCAACAA
This is a long non-coding RNA of Marmota monax (woodchuck), 4204 nucleotides long. RefSeq lists it as uncharacterized. Lineage: Eukaryota; Metazoa; Chordata; Mammalia; Rodentia; Sciuridae. The transcript is spliced from 6 exons. The record is from RefSeq and is a predicted model, not a curated record.